RNAcentral lists this ribosomal RNA (254 nucleotides) under uncultured bacterium. RNAcentral's name for it is "partial 16S ribosomal RNA". It matches the Rfam family "Bacterial small subunit ribosomal RNA", at positions 524 to 776 of the family's 1533-position model. The record is from RNAcentral.
CACGUAGGGUGCGAGCGUUGUCCGGAAUUAUUGGGCGUAAAGAGCUCGUAGGCGGUGUGUCGCGUCGGCCGUGAAAACCUGCAGCUUAACUGUGGGCUUGCGGUCGAUACGGGCAUCACUGGAGUUCGGCAGGGGAGACUGGAAUUCCUGGUGUAGCGGUGAAAUGCGCAGAUAUCAGGAGGAACGCCGGUGGCGAAAGCGGCUCUCUGGGACGGUACUGACGCUGAGACGCGAAAGCGUGGGGAGCGAACAGG